CUAUCGUUCGAUGCUAACAAACUUUUUGUUGCCAAAAAUGGAAGAACUGAACUUGGUUGACAUGUGGUUUCAACAAGAUGGCGCUACAUGCCACACAGCUCGCGAUUCUAUGGCCAUUUUGAGGGAAAACUUCGGAGAACAAUUCAUCUCAAGAAAUGGACCCGUAAGUUGGCCACCAAGAUCAUGCGAUUUAACGCCUUUAGACUAUUUUUUGUGGGGCUACGUCAAGUCUAAAGUCUACAGAAAUAAGCCAGCAACUAUUCCAGCUUUGGAAGACAACAUUUCCGAAGAAAUUCGGGCUAUUCCGGCCGAAAUGCUCGAAAAAGUUGCCCAAAAUUGGACUUUCCGAAUGGACCACCUAAGACGCAGCCGCGGUCAACAUUUAAAUGAAAUUAUCUUCAAAAAGUAAAUGUCAUGAACCAAUCUAACGUUUCAAAUAAAGAACCGAUGAGAUUUUGCAACUUUUAUGCGUUUUUUUUUUUAAAAAAGUUAUCAAGCUCUUAAAAAAUCACCCGAUAUAUUGGCAUAGAUAUUCAGCCCUAUUCUGCAUUUCUACUCGAAUCGAAAUUUUCUCCGAUUGGCAACUUUGGUAUUCUGCGUUUCGAUUCAACUUCGAAAAUUCCAAUUCUAUGUAUUCUGCAUUGCGAUCGUAAUUACGUUUUUGUACGUUGAAGUUUUGUUGGCGGAAAGCCGUUAUAUAUUCAUUUUCGUGCAUUUGGAUAAAAUAAUUUCCUCAAAUAUGUCAAAAGUAACAACGGCAGAGCAAUACGAAAAAUUGUGUGAUAUGAUGGCCACGAAAAGAGAUAUUGCGCACGGCUUCCAAAGCGACCGAAGGAAGAAGUACAGGAGUUUUGGGAGGAGGUUGCAAGGAAUUUAAAUGCACUUGGCCCACCAACAAAAGAUUCCAAUACAUGGAGAAAGGUCUGGAUUGACUGGAAAUGCUACAUGAAGCGAAAAUUAUCGCAUAACAAAAAAGAAAGGAUGAGCACCGGUGGAGGUCCUUGCCGUUUACAACGCAUAAGCCCACUUGAUGAAAAGGUGAUAGCUUUGACGGGUUUGGAAACGGAUGAUAUCCCUUCAACCAGUAGAGCUAGCAGCCAAAAUAGAGAGGCGAGGGCAGACAAGCAGAGCACUUCUUCAUUACUUAAGCAACAGAUACAAAUCAAAAAGAAUUUUAUGCAGAGAUGAAAAAAUUCAAUGAAGCUGCCUUUGGUAAAAUGGAAGAAGUUACUUCAUAUUUACGACACAUGAAUCGUUCUCUAGAAACUUUGGCGGAGACUGCAGUGAAGCAACCUGAAGAACAGAAGCGACACAAUAGAAUUAAGGAAGAGCUGGUGAAGGAAAAAGUAGAAAUAAAAAUGCAAAUGCUAAGAUUAGGUCCAAAUUAUAAGACGGAUUCAAAUUAGUCAUUUUUUAAUUGUUAGCCUUUUAUUUAUUUUACUAUUAUUCAUUUAUAUAACGAGCUGUGAAAUUAAAUAAAAGCAUUUACUUUUUUAAUAUAGGAGCUGUAAAAUGCACUGAAUGCAAUUGUUUUUAUUUAAUAGAGUAAUGUAGGGCAUAUUUUGAAUAAUGCAUUGCUCUCCUCCUCAAGUAAUAUCGCUGCCGCUACUGAUUCCAUGUUAGUGUUUAAAAAAAACGCGAUAUAAUUUCUUUAUUUUAAUAAACCAACAAUAAUUUGUGUA
This is a long non-coding RNA of Bactrocera neohumeralis, 1682 nucleotides long. RefSeq lists it as uncharacterized. Lineage: Eukaryota; Metazoa; Arthropoda; Insecta; Diptera; Tephritidae. The transcript has 3 exons. The record is from RefSeq and is a predicted model, not a curated record.